GGCUUCCUAGCUCAGCCGACAGAGUGCUUGCCGUUUUUUUUGGGAAUUCUGUUGCUGGUUCGAACCCAGCCGAAGCCC
This is a non-coding RNA of Paragonimus skrjabini miyazakii, 78 nucleotides long. The record is from the annotation of a GenBank genome assembly. Lineage: Eukaryota; Metazoa; Platyhelminthes; Trematoda; Plagiorchiida; Troglotrematidae.